UACGUAGGGUGCGAGCGUUAAUCGGAAUUACUGGGCGUAAAGCGUGCGCAGGCGGUUCGUUGUGUCUGAUGUGAAAGCCCCGGGCUCAACCUGGGAAUGGCAAUGGAAACUGGCGGGCUGGAGUAUGGCAGAGGGGGGUGGAAUUCCGCGUGUAGCAGUGAAAUGCGUAGAGAUGCGGAGGAACACCGAUGGCGAAGGCAGCCCCCUGGGCCAAUACUGACGCUCAGGCACGAAAGCGUGGGGAGCAAACAGG
RNAcentral lists this ribosomal RNA (253 nucleotides) under uncultured bacterium. RNAcentral describes it as "partial 16S ribosomal RNA". It matches the Rfam family "Bacterial small subunit ribosomal RNA", at positions 524 to 776 of the family's 1533-position model. The record is from RNAcentral.